GCGCAGCCGGGGCGGUAGCGGUGCCUUGUACCUUCAAUCCGCUAUAGUAGGGGUCAUAUCCCGGCUGAGGGUGUUUCACUUGUGGAGCUGCCCUUUGUAAGUGGCGUUGAAGUUUGGGUCUUACGCAACAAGACUCUGUGAACCAUGUCAGGUCGGGAACGAAGCAGCAUUAAGCAGAAUCUCUUGUGUGCCGUGAGGGUGCCUGAGCCGAGCAGGCUGCAGAGGUAACGUCUGGGGGUGGCAUUCGAAGCCGGGAUGCGC
Non-coding RNA from Clostridiales bacterium KLE1615, 261 nucleotides. NCBI's taxonomy places the organism in Bacteria, Bacillati, Bacillota, Clostridia, Eubacteriales. The record is from Rfam.